AAUGUUAUAAUUACCGUGGCAGAAAAGGACUUGAGUCACAUGACACAGUCCGGCAGAAAAGUUGCAGUGCCCAAUGUUCUGAAAACCGGUUCGGACAAAUGUUAAAACUACCAAUUUCAAAAACUACAAUUGAACAGUCGAAUCGGCCGGGAACUGGUCGGUCGAACCGAACCGUGACCCAGCUGGUUUUUUGAAUAAGGGGAAAAUGAAGAACGCGUUACUCUGUGCUGUGCCCCUCCCCCUUUCGUUCCUAACUUUCCUUCCUUCAUUCUCCUCAGAUCAAAGAAAGAAAACCCUAGCUACUCUCCACAGUCUCCGAAUAGAGUAAGUGAGCCAUUACCGUCGUCCGUGGUUGUCCGAGGCUUCUCUCUUCUUCCUCGCUUGGCGUCCAUCCUCCAUCGUCUUCAUCCUACGCGCCGUCGUCUCGUCGCCGUUUGUUUAUUACAAAAAAAACAAAGCUUCGGUAGCGUUGAGAGCCCCUUGCCCCUUCUCUCCUUCUUCAUUUUCCAGAACUCAACUCAACUCAACGUCAAGGCCUCUCAACCAAAGAAAAAUUUAAAAACCCUAGCCUCAGCUGCCGUUCAUUUGUCCAUCGAUCCACUGCCACCGUCUGUUCAUAAAACCCCAGAGCCCCAUACUUCAAAGAUGCUUACUUGGGUAUCCCUUCAAGUGUCCCAAGCUGCAGAUUACUCCUAAGAAUGGCUUAUCAGAAAGUGACACUGAUAAACUAUUGUCACUCCUCCAUGAUCAGAUAUGAUCUUGGUUUAUACCUCAGUAUAUGUCUCUACUCGUACGCUUCAGCGUUGUUGUUGAAUUGUUGACCUUUGGUGCAUUUGUUGUGUUAUAGGUAGUGUUGUAGUAAUAUUUAUGGCUAGGAUGAAUAUUGGUUAGCAAUAGAAUGCUUUGAUAUUUUUGGUUCCUUGGUGUCAAUGUUGAGAGCAAUUAAGAGCAAGCAUAUGUUAUGAUGCCCAAGUUGGUAGAAAAUGAGCCACAAGGUGGAAGAAGUAUCAAGUAUGUAUUAUUAAAUUAAAAGAUUUUUAAAAGCAUGACUUGUACAUUAUCUAAAGAAAGUUGAGGUAGGAUUCAAUAUUGAGGUAGUUGAGACCUGAAUGGCAAGAACAAGUUACUAAACCAAGCAUAUUUCUAUGUAAUCUUAUUUUGAAUUCUUCAUGUGUUCUUCCUUCUUUUAAUUCUUUGAAUGUAACUACUGAUCUUUCUUGGUACCCAGGAGUUUACUAGACAUGUUUCAGUUCAAUUAUUUCCUCACUUCAUUUCAUUUAAUCAUAUAUUCAUGUUCUUUUUCUUUUCC
Molecule: non-coding RNA, 1309 nt
Organism: Arachis ipaensis
Lineage: Eukaryota; Viridiplantae; Streptophyta; Magnoliopsida; Fabales; Fabaceae
Source: RefSeq, a predicted model, not a curated record